UGGGGAAUUUUGGACAAUGGGCGCAAGCCUGAUCCAGCCAUGCCGCGUGCGGGAAGAAGGCCUUCGGGUUGUAAACCGCUUUUGUCAGGGAAGAAAUCUUCUGAGUUAAUACCUCGGGAGGAUGACGGUACCUGAAGAAUAAGCACCGGCUAACUACGUGCCAGCAGCCGCGGUAAUACGUAGGGUGCAAGCGUUAAUCGGAAUUACUGGGCGUAAAGCGUGCGCAGGCGGUUUUGUAAGACAGAGGUGAAAUCCCCGGGCUCAACCUGGGAACUGCCUUUGUGACUGCAAGGCUUGAGUGCGGCAGAGGGGGAUGGAAUUCCGCGUGUAGCAGUGAAAUGCGUAGAUAUGCGGAGGAACACCGAUGGCGAAGGCAAUCCCCUGGGCCUGCACUGACGCUCAUGCACGAAAGCGUGGGGAGCAAAACAGGAUUAGAUACCCUGGUAGUCCACGCCCUAAAACGAUGUCAACUGGUUGUUGGGAAGGUUCCUUCUCAGUAACGUAGCUAACGCAUGAAGUUGACCGCCUGGGGAGUAACGGCCGCAAGGUUGAAACUCAAAU
This 561-nucleotide ribosomal RNA is filed under the name uncultured bacterium. Its description in RNAcentral is "partial 16S ribosomal RNA". It matches the Rfam family "Bacterial small subunit ribosomal RNA", at positions 355 to 906 of the family's 1533-position model. The record is from RNAcentral.